RNAcentral lists this long non-coding RNA (1104 nucleotides) under Phaseolus vulgaris (common bean). Its description in RNAcentral is "long non-coding RNA (PVUL_LNC002270)". The record is from RNAcentral. Lineage: Eukaryota; Viridiplantae; Streptophyta; Magnoliopsida; Fabales; Fabaceae.
GAAGUCUAGCCCACAUCCUAUCACUCAGCUUCACCGUUUUCUGCCUCUCCGUCACACGCUGCAACAAGAUGUUCGGUGAUCAACUGGUGGUAUAUAUUACGCAAUGCACGAAACAAGCAAUAUAAUAGUAUGAGAAACGAUGUAGAACAAAAUCUCCAAUUACACACUUAAAAGAAACGACUAGUUGUAUGGAGAAAUUAUCAAAUAAUCAAUGGCUUUUCACUGAAUAUAUCCAAUUAUUAAAAGCAAAGAAAAAUACAGCAUGUUGAUAGUCAGGGUCAACUUAAUCUUGCAGUCUAUCAGAUGGUGUCUGAGAUCAACCCAGAAAGGGCUUUCGUUUUCUUUUUGUAGCUUCAGAUGGUGGAAAUGGUUUCCGUGACAAAUUUAUUUCCAGGGUUCAAAUUUCAGAAACUUCAUCAACCUCCUGCAACUUUCAGAAAAAAAAAAACUGCAUAUUUUUGUGCCAGGCUGGCUGGCAGGCAAGCUUUCUCUUCUUCAUCUUCAGUCAUCUUUUAUGAUCGUUAAUCCUAGUUAGACUAGUUCAGUUUUUUUACUUAAUAAAAAGUCUCUAUAAAGACUCAUCUAUGGUAUUUUCUUAAUGCAUGGAAGAAUAAAAUCAUUUUUUUUAAUGUUUUUCUUGUUAUAGCAGGUUGCUUGGGGAGAAUCCAGGUGGACGUUAGGAAAGUUUCUUCAAUAAGAAUCAAAAUACUCAAUGAUCAUUCUACAUGGGUACAAGGUUUCAUCCAUUUGGAACAGUUGGUCGUUUGGAUGAGGAGUAUGAAUGCCGAGUCUGGAAGCCAUGGAAUUCAUUCAAUGGCUCAAUUUAAUAGCUAUUCCGAUAUAUUAUUCCAUUCCACAACCCUUGAUGUUUUAGUCUAGAAAGGUUUUCAAUUGAAUUGUAGUAUGUAAAAACUGAAGACCUACUGAAGAAAACAACAGAAAAUAUUUGAAUUAGAAAAUCUAUAUGAAAUUAAUAGGAUAUAAAAAAUUGUUUCAGAAAAUAACAAAGCAAACAAAAAUACUAAAAGAUUGUUAAGCGUAGCACAGUGUUUAGCAAUGAUAGUAAAUUACUUGAAUUGAAUAUACACGAGUUAAUGAAAUGAG